RNAcentral lists this ribosomal RNA (253 nucleotides) under uncultured bacterium. Its description in RNAcentral is "partial 16S ribosomal RNA". It matches the Rfam family "Bacterial small subunit ribosomal RNA", at positions 524 to 776 of the family's 1533-position model. The record is from RNAcentral.
UACGGGGGGGGCAAGCGUUGUUCGGAAUUACUGGGCGUAAAGGGCUCGUAGGCGGCCAACUAAGUCAGACGUGAAAUCCCUCGGCUUAACCGGGGAACUGCGUCUGAUACUGGAUGGCUUGAGGUUGGGAGAGGGAUGCGGAAUUCCCGGUGUAGCGGUGAAAUGCGCAGAUAUCGGGAGGAACACCGGUGGCGAAGGCGGUUCUCUGGGCCUUACCUGACGCUGAGGAGCGAAAGCGUGGGGAGCGAACAGG